GGCUUCAUAGCACAGUUGGUUAGAGCGUCGCACCGGUAUCAAACAAAGGUCAUGGGUUCAAACUCCAUUGAAGUCC
RNAcentral lists this transfer RNA (76 nucleotides) under Acropora cervicornis. RNAcentral describes it as "tRNA-OTHER". It matches the Rfam family "tRNA". Rfam says of the family: Transfer RNA (tRNA) molecules are approximately 80 nucleotides in length. Their secondary structure includes four short double-helical elements and three loops (D, anti-codon, and T loops). Further hydrogen bonds mediate the characteristic L-shaped molecular structure. tRNAs have two regions of fundamental functional importance: the anti-codon, which is responsible for specific mRNA codon recognition, and the 3' end, to which the tRNAs corresponding amino acid is attached (by aminoacyl-tRNA synthetases). tRNAs cope with the degeneracy of the genetic code in two manners: having more than one tRNA (with a specific anti-codon) for a particular amino acid; and 'wobble' base-pairing, i.e. permitting non-standard base-pairing at the 3rd anti-codon position. The record is from RNAcentral. Lineage: Eukaryota; Metazoa; Cnidaria; Anthozoa; Scleractinia; Acroporidae.